RNAcentral lists this ribosomal RNA (359 nucleotides) under uncultured bacterium. Its description in RNAcentral is "partial 16S ribosomal RNA". It matches the Rfam family "Bacterial small subunit ribosomal RNA", at positions 338 to 713 of the family's 1533-position model. The record is from RNAcentral.
CCUACGGGGAGCAGCAGUAGGGAAUAUUGCUCAAUGGGGGAAACCCUGAAGCAGCAACGCCGCGUGGAGGAUGAAGGUUUUCGGAUUGUAAACUCCUUUUGUUAGAGAAGAUAAUGACGGUAUCUAACGAAUAAGCACCGGCUAACUCCGUGCCAGCAGCCGCGGUAAUACGGAGGGUGCAAGCGUUACUCGGAAUCACUGGGCGUAAAGAGCGCGUAGGCGGGAUAGCAAGUCAGAUGUGAAAUCCUAUGGCUUAACCAUAGAACUGCAUUUGAAACUGUUAUUCUAGAGUAUUGGAGAGGUAGGUUGGAUUCUUGGGGGAAGGGGAAAAACCGGAGAGAACAAGAGGGAUAAUCAUU